RNAcentral lists this unclassified non-coding RNA (393 nucleotides) under Hevea brasiliensis (rubber tree). The record is from RNAcentral. Lineage: Eukaryota; Viridiplantae; Streptophyta; Magnoliopsida; Malpighiales; Euphorbiaceae.
CAAGACUAGCACAAUGGAGGAUCGAGAAGUUAGGCCCUUGCUCUUGCAAAACAUCUGAUCCUUUCAAGAUAGGAAUCUGGAACUGGCACUUGUCUGUGGAGAAGAAUCGAUACCUCCAUGUUCGUUUGUUUCCAGAGCCAUCUCGANNNUAGAGAAACCUCCUAUUGCUACAUUUAUUCUUCGUGUUUUUAAUGCUCGAGCUAACCGCGCGCCCUAUAUCUCUACUGUUCACGAAAGAUUGCUGCGAACAAGCGAUGACUUUGUCUGGCCUGUUGAUUCCACCUUUCAUGAUCGCUUCAUCAUUGAUGUCGAGUUUCUAGACCUCAAGAUCUGGCACCUUCUGAAUGGUGGGGAAGCCAGUUCCAUAUGGCCUAGUGAUGGUAUGAUGCAGUC